This 424-nucleotide ribosomal RNA is filed under the name uncultured bacterium. Its description in RNAcentral is "bacterial SSU rRNA". It matches the Rfam family "Bacterial small subunit ribosomal RNA", at positions 359 to 774 of the family's 1533-position model. The record is from RNAcentral.
GAAUAUUGGACAAUGGGGGGAACCCUGAUCCAGCCAUGCCGCGUGUGUGAAGAAGGCCUUUGGUUGGUAAAGCACUUUAAGCGAGGAGGAGGCCACGUAGAUUAAUACUCUAGGAUAGUGGACGUUACUCGCAGAAUACGCACCAGCUCACUCUGUGCCAGCAGCCGCGGUAAUACAGAGGGUGCAAGCGUUAAUCGGAUUUACUGGGCGUAAAGCGCGCGUAGGUGGCCAAUUAAGUCAAAUGUGAAAUCCCCGAGCUUAACUUGGGAAUUGCAUUCGAUACUGGUUGGCUAGAGUAUGGGAGAGGAUGGUAGAAUUCCAGGUGUAGCGGUGAAAUGCGUAGAGAUCUGGAGGAAUACCGAUGGCGAAGGCAGCCAUCUGGCCUAAUACUGACACUGAGGUGCGAAAGCAUGGGGAGCAAACA